Molecule: ribosomal RNA, 234 nt
Filed under: Salmonella enterica subsp. enterica serovar Typhimurium
Lineage: Bacteria; Pseudomonadati; Pseudomonadota; Gammaproteobacteria; Enterobacterales; Enterobacteriaceae
Description: partial 16S ribosomal RNA
Rfam family: Bacterial small subunit ribosomal RNA
Source: RNAcentral
UCCGGAUUUACUGGGUGUAAAGGGAGCGUAGACGGUAAUGCAAGUCUGGAGUGAAAGGCGGGGGCCCAACCCCCGGACUGCUUUGGAAACUGUGUGACUGGAGUGCAGGAGAGGUAAGUGGAAUUCCUAGUGUAGCGGUGAAAUGCGUAGAUAUUAGGAGGAACACCAGUGGCGAAGGCGGCUUACUGGACUGUAACUGACGUUGAGGCUCGAAAGCGUGGGGAGCAAACAGGA